AUUGAACGCUGGCGGUAGGCCUAACACAUGCAAGUCGAACGGCAGAACAGUGCUUGCUUGCGCUUACGGGGGGGGACGGGCGGGCAGUGCAUGGGUAUAUCCGUGUCUGCGUUUUCGUAGGUGAGGACGUAGGGGAUCUUACGGUAUUAGCGCAUAGGGACUACGGGUGGGAUCUUGGGAUCUUCCGCUCUUGGGUGAUUGUAGGAGGGGAUGUCGGAUUGGCUAGUUGGAGGGGUAAAGGCCCACCAAGGCGACGAUCCGUAGCUGGUCUGAGAGGAUGAUCAGCCACACUGGAACUGAGACACGGUCCAGACUCCUACGGGAGGCAGCAGUGGGGAAUAUUGGACAAUGGGCGAAAGCCUGAUCCAGCCAUACCGCGUGGGUGAAGAAGGUCUUCGGGUUGUAAAGCCCUUUUGUUGGGAAAGAAAAGCAGCAGGUUAAUACCCCGCUGUUCUGACGGUACCAACAGAAUAAGCACCGGCUAACUUCGUG
Molecule: ribosomal RNA, 492 nt
Filed under: uncultured bacterium
Lineage: Bacteria
Description: partial 16S ribosomal RNA
Rfam family: Bacterial small subunit ribosomal RNA
Source: RNAcentral